RNAcentral lists this ribosomal RNA (821 nucleotides) under Rothia terrae. Its description in RNAcentral is "bacterial SSU rRNA". It matches the Rfam family "Bacterial small subunit ribosomal RNA", at positions 57 to 882 of the family's 1533-position model. Lineage: Bacteria; Bacillati; Actinomycetota; Actinomycetes; Micrococcales; Micrococcaceae. The record is from RNAcentral.
GCAGUCGAACGAUGAAGACCGGUGCUUGCACUGGUUGGAUUAGUGGCGAACGGGUGAGUAAUACGUGAGUAACCUGCCUUUGACUCUGGGAUAAGCCUUGGAAACGAGGUCUAAUACCGGAUAUGACACAGUUUCGCAUGAAAUCUGUGUGGAAAGGGUUUGUACUGGUUUUAGAUGGGCUCACGGCCUAUCAGCUUGUUGGUGAGGUAAUGGCUCACCAAGGCGACGACGGGUAGCCGGCCUGAGAGGGUGACCGGCCACACUGGGACUGAGACACGGCCCAGACUCCUACGGGAGGCAGCAGUGGGGAAUAUUGCACAAUGGGCGCAAGCCUGAUGCAGCGACGCCGCGUGAGGGAUGACGGCCUUCGGGUUGUAAACCUCUUUCAGCAGGGGAGAAGCGAAAGUGACGGUACCUGCAGAAGAAGCGCCGGCUAACUACGUGCCAGCAGCCGCGGUAAUACGUAGGGCGCGAGCGUUGUCCGGAAUUAUUGGGCGUAAAGAGCUUGUAGGCGGUUUGUCGCGUCUGCUGUGAAAGCCCGGGGCUUAACUCCGGGUUUGCAGUGGGUACGGGCUAACUAGAGUGCAGUAGGGGAGACUGGAAUUCCUGGUGUAGCGGUGGAAUGCGCAGAUAUCAGGAGGAACACCGAUGGCGAAGGCAGGUCUCUGGGCUGUAACUGACGCUGAGAAGCGAAAGCAUGGGGAGCGAACAGGAUUAGAUACCCUGGUAGUCCAUGCCGUAAACGUUGGGCACUAGGUGUGGGGGACAUUCCACGUUUUCCGCGCCGUAGCUAACGCAUUAAGUGCCCCGCCUGGGGAGUA